UAAGGAUUUAAGUUAAACAAACUUAUGACCUUCAAAGUCAUCAAUAAAGGUAUUCUUUAAGCCUUAG
RNAcentral lists this transfer RNA (67 nucleotides) under Prismognathus prossi. Its description in RNAcentral is "tRNA-Trp". The record is from RNAcentral. Lineage: Eukaryota; Metazoa; Arthropoda; Insecta; Coleoptera; Lucanidae.